RNAcentral lists this long non-coding RNA (667 nucleotides) under Nicotiana benthamiana. Its description in RNAcentral is "long non-coding RNA (NBEN_LNC022436)". Lineage: Eukaryota; Viridiplantae; Streptophyta; Magnoliopsida; Solanales; Solanaceae. The record is from RNAcentral.
UCACAAGAACAGAGUCAAAUAAUCACAUAUAAUAUCUGAGAUAAGGACAGAGUUACCCUCCUUCUUCGCAACCGGAGAAGAUCGGCCUUCAAAAUAACAGAAACCCUAGGUAUAGCUUUAAAAAACAAACUUUACCGGAAAUAUGGUCAGGAACGUCGGAAAUGCACCCAAAACGUCCACAAAGUGAUAAUCGAGCCACCGGAAUACGGUAAAACCUCAGGUUAACCGUCAGAAACCCUAGAAGCCGAUAAGUCACCCAAAAUCAACCAACCAAAAUCAUCACAAAAUCUUUCCAGAGUGUUCAGGAGAGGAAAACACACUCGGAUAUCACGAAGAGACACUCAGAAAGGUCUCCGAUAGAUUGAAAUCAUCAUCGACGAAACGGUCUCAGAAAUCACCCCCAAACACCUCGAAACAGACUUCAUCCAAGACCACGAAACACACAGAAACAUGAUCGGAUCGUCGUUGAGGCUCUGAUAAAACAGACUUCAUCCAAGACCACGAAUCACACAGAAACAUGAUCGGAUCGUCGUCGAGGCUCUAAUACCAUGUUAACAUCGAGAUUAAGCAGAUGAAUCAUGAAAGUUAUAGAGAGAGAAAGUAGAGAGAAGGAGGAGUAGGUGAGAAGUCUCUGGAACUUCAGAGAAAAAUUUAUUCAACCGAGAAA